ACAGAAGCCAGAGAGUGCCAGA
Molecule: unclassified non-coding RNA, 22 nt
Filed under: Mus musculus (house mouse)
Lineage: Eukaryota; Metazoa; Chordata; Mammalia; Rodentia; Muridae
Description: oocyte_clustered_small_RNA11043
Source: RNAcentral